UUUCCGUAGGUGAACCUGCGGAAGGAUCAUUCAUAAUAAGUGUUUUACGGCACUUUUUUAAAUCCAUAUCCACCUUGUGUGCAAUGUCAGGGUUGAUUUUUCUCUCGAGAGGAACAGCCCCAAACAUCAACUAUAUCUCAACUCCUCGUCUGAAAAAUAUUAUGAAUAAAACAAUUCAAAAUACAACUUUCAACAACGGAUCUCUUGGCUCUC
This 213-nucleotide unclassified non-coding RNA is filed under the name plant metagenome. RNAcentral's name for it is "partial contains small subunit ribosomal RNA, internal transcribed spacer 1, and 5.8S ribosomal RNA". The record is from RNAcentral.